ACCCAGUCAAAUUGGGGUCCUCCUCACACGCAAAGCACCUGUCGUUUUUCGCCACCUGGUUGUUGCUCGUUUUUCCCAUAAAGACGUUUAAGUUUAGCUCCAAAGCCUAAAUUUGAUGUUACAACGUUUUUCGUAAUGAAGAAAAUUCACGUGUGGAGGGACCACCGUGGAAUAAAAUAGGCGGCCCUGUUUCGUUGCUUGUCCUUAUGGAAAUUUAAAGUCUUUUCUGACAACUCGGGGCGGAUGAAAGGUCUGAGUGAGUUCCCAACCAGUUUCCUGGUGAGGAACGGAAGGUCAACACUCAACGUCAAUUUUGUGAUGUAUAAUUUCAUCUCACUUCUUAAGUAACAGAUUUGAACUAGCCCUAACCAUUCGCCUGCAGUGCACAGGGUGCCGUGCUUCAAUUUCGCCCAUAUGGGCUUGGAUUCUUUUAAUUUCGCCCAUACGGGAAGCGGUAAAAAGGAUAAACAAGAAGCCAGUAUGGGCAUGGAUUUUUUUUA
This is a long non-coding RNA of Mangifera indica (mango), 500 nucleotides long. RefSeq lists it as uncharacterized. NCBI's taxonomy places the organism in Eukaryota, Viridiplantae, Streptophyta, Magnoliopsida, Sapindales, Anacardiaceae. The record is from RefSeq and is a predicted model, not a curated record. The transcript is spliced from 2 exons.